RNAcentral lists this ribosomal RNA (372 nucleotides) under uncultured bacterium. RNAcentral's name for it is "bacterial SSU rRNA". It matches the Rfam family "Bacterial small subunit ribosomal RNA", at positions 917 to 1291 of the family's 1533-position model. The record is from RNAcentral.
GGGCCCGCACAAGCGGUGGAGUAUGUGGUUUAAUUCGAUGCAACGCGAAGAACCUUACCAGGGUUUGACAUCCUGCGAAUCUCUUGGAAACGAGAGAGUGCCUUAGGGAACGCAGUGACAGGUGGUGCAUGGCUGUCGUCAGCUCGUGUCGUGAGAUGUUGGGUUAAGUCCCGCAACGAGCGCAACCCACGUCGUUAGUUGCCAGCAUUUUGAGUUGGGCACUCUAGAGAGACUGCCGGUGAUAAACCGGAGAAGGUGUGGAUGACGUCAAGUCAUCAUGCCCCUUACAUCUGGGCUACACACGUACUACAAUGCUACGGACAAAGGGCAGCAAGUUCGCGAGGACAAGCAAAUCCCAUAAACGUGGCUCAG